Molecule: ribosomal RNA, 253 nt
Filed under: uncultured bacterium
Lineage: Bacteria
Description: partial 16S ribosomal RNA
Rfam family: Bacterial small subunit ribosomal RNA
Source: RNAcentral
UACAGAGGUCCCAAGCGUUGUUCGGAUUCACUGGGCGUAAAGGGCGCGUAGGUGGCCUAAUAAGUCUGAUGUGAAAGCUCAGGGCUUAACCCUGAAAUGGCAUUGAAUACUGUUGGGCUGGAGGUUUGGAGGGGGGACUGGAAUUCUUGGUGUAGCAGUGAAAUGCGUAGAUAUCAAGAGGAACACCAGUGGCGAAGGCGAGUCCCUGGACAACACCUGACACUGAGGCGCGAAAGCCGGGGGAGCAAACAGG